CUCGUGGAACCUGCACGGAGCAUGUCAGCGGACGAGGAGCAAGAAACGGAGAGGCAGAACAAAGCCUUCCGCGAAGACUCGAGAGUCGUUAACUCGUCGAUCCGAACAAGCACAAGCGGAUUCCACUCGUUGCUCGUCUGAAGUGAGUCUCCUUCCCCCUUCAAAUCGUCGACUACGAGUACUGUGCGUCUGAUGUCGUGUAUUCUUUUACCUGCUGCAUUGCUGGCAGAACCUCUGGCGGAAGCCGGCGACCAUGACGACGGCGGCCUUGGAGUGGGCCUCGCAGACCUUGUGCCGGCGGUGGUAGCGCUUCGCCUCGGUGAGGUCAGCGGUGCAAUUCUCGGCCUGAC
This 350-nucleotide long non-coding RNA is filed under the name Musa acuminata (dwarf banana). RNAcentral's name for it is "long non-coding RNA (MACU_LNC000155)". The record is from RNAcentral. Lineage: Eukaryota; Viridiplantae; Streptophyta; Magnoliopsida; Zingiberales; Musaceae.